Molecule: long non-coding RNA, 721 nt
Filed under: Glycine max (soybean)
Lineage: Eukaryota; Viridiplantae; Streptophyta; Magnoliopsida; Fabales; Fabaceae
Description: long non-coding RNA (GMAX_LNC003875)
Source: RNAcentral
GUAGAAAAUAAAUGUCCUCUUCCCAGGGACACUCUCUAUUUCACAGAUCUAUAUCUAAGUGUCGGUGAUCCCCUUUCUCCUUCCUUCUCUGAGAGACAAUGACAAUGACGUGGGCGCGAUUCGAUUCGUGGAAGCAGCAAUACUACACCACAAGCGGCGUGGUGGUAGGUUACGCAGUAUGCUCCAGCCUCCUGGCCAUCAUCAACAAAUACGCCAUCACCAAAUUCAACUACCCAGGCCUCUUAACCGCGCUCCAGUACCUCACCUCCGCACUCGGCGUCUACGUCUUUGGGAAAUUAGGGUUUCUCCACCACGACCCCUUCACCCUCCCCACCGCCAAAAAAUUCUUCCCCGCCGCCCUCGUCUUCUACCUCGCCAUCUUCACCAACACCAAUCUUCUCCGCCAUGCCAACGUCGACACCUUCAUCGUCUUCCGAUCCCUCACCCCUCUCCUCGUCGCCCUCGCCGACACCGUCUUCCGCAGCCAGCCCUGCCCCUCCAACCUCACCUUCCUCUCCCUCCUCGUCAUCCUCGCCGGCGCCUUCGGCUACGUCGCCACCGACUCCGCCUUCACCCUCACCGCCUACUCCUGGGCCUUCGCCUACCUCAUCACCAUCACCACCGAGAUGGUCUACAUCAAGCACAUGGUCAUGAGCCUCGGCCUCAACACAUGGGGCUUCGUCUUCUACAACAACCUCCUCUCUCUUAUGAUGGCUCCCUU